CAUUUACGGAGAGUUUGAUCCUGGCUCAGGACGAACGCUGGCGGCGUGCUUAACACAUGCAAGUCGAACGGUGAAGAGGAGCUUGCUCCUUGGAUCAGUGGCGAACGGGUGAGUAACACGUGAGCAAUCUGCCCUUGACUCUGGGAUAACUGCGGGAAACUGUAGCUAAUACCGGAUAUUACCUUGGAAGGCAUCUUCUGGGGUGGAAAGAAUUUUGGUCAAGGAUGAGCUCGCGGCCUAUCAGCUAGUUGGUGAGGUAAUGGCUCACCAAGGCGACGACGGGUAGCCGGCCUGAGAGGGUGACCGGCCACACUGGGACUGAGACACGGCCCAGACUCCUACGGGAGGCAGCAGUGGGGAAUAUUGCACAAUGGGCGCAAGCCUGAUGCAGCAACGCCGCGUGAGGGACGAAGGCCUUCGGGUUGUAAACCUCUUUUAGUAGGGAAGAAGCGACUGGGUUUUCCUGGGAGUGACGGUACCUGCAGAAAAAGCACCGGCUAACUACGUGCCAGCAGCCGCGGUAAUACGUAGGGUGCAAGCGUUGUCCGGAAUUAUUGGGCGUAAAGAGCUCGUAGGCGGUUUGUCGCGUCUGCUGUGAAAACCCGAGGCUCAACCUCGGGCCUGCAGUGGGUACGGGCAGACUAGAGUGCGGUAGGGGAGAUUGGAAUUCCUGGUGUAGCGGUGGAAUGCGCAGAUAUCAGGAGGAACACCAAUGGCGAAGGCAGAUCUCUGGGCCGUAACUGACGCUGAGGAGCGAAAGCAUGGGGAGCGAACAGGAUUAGAUACCCUGGUAGUCCAUGCCGUAAACGUUGGGAACUAGAUGUGGGGACCAUUCCACGGUCUCCGUGUCGCAGCUAACGCAUUAAGUUCCCCGCCUGGGGAGUACGGCCGCAAGGCUAAAACUCAAAGGAAUUGACGGGGGCCCGCACAAGCGGCGGAGCAUGCGGAUUAAUUCGAUGCAACGCGAAGAACCUUACCAAGGCUUGACAUAUA
Molecule: ribosomal RNA, 993 nt
Filed under: Cryobacterium levicorallinum
Lineage: Bacteria; Bacillati; Actinomycetota; Actinomycetes; Micrococcales; Microbacteriaceae
Description: bacterial SSU rRNA
Rfam family: Bacterial small subunit ribosomal RNA
Source: RNAcentral